GCCUUUAUUUUCGGCAGCUACCGUUCAAAGUCUCUUCUGCUUGGCUGCCGGGAAAAUCCAAGAAAGUUUUGAGAAUUCAAAACACCCAGUCUCGUUCUCAACAAGCGGUUCUUGUUUGAAGACUUUUGGAACCGAUUUUCUCGGAAAAUUUGAUCGCUUUCUUUUUGCAUCCCUGUGCGAUACUCUUAAACUGAGGAACUGUAAGGAGACAGAGACGACGAAGACGAAGAAGAAUACGAGCUCGACAGGAAAUCAUGUCCUUGUUGAGAUAAAUUCUGUUAUAUGCUAUGGAGAUAGAUCUUGAAAUUCCUUCGUAUGAUCGGACCUUGGACAGUGGAUCAAAUGUGAAUGCCGAUGGCGGUGAUAGUUUGGAUGGAAUGGAUGUUCGUGAUGUUGAAAUGGAUCUUCCAACGAGAAGUGGUAAUGCGAUUGAAAUUUGUGAGCCGAGCACAAGUGGCAGCAUUGGUGGCAGUCUAGAGCAGUUUGCAACUGUCGAUGAUGUCAAUGGUGGUGCCAUUAACGAACCUAGAAAUGGUUUGGAGUUUGACUCGAAAGAGGCUGCUUACUAUUUCUACAGGGAAUACGCUCGAUCUGUUGGAUUUGGGAUCACGAUAAAAGCCAGUCGGCGCUCAAAAAAAUCUGGAAAGUUUAUUGAUGUGAAAAUAGCAUGUUCAAGAUUCGGAGCUAAGCGUCAGCCUGGCACAGGUGUAAACCCAAGGUCAUGCCCAAAAACGGGUUGCAAGGCAGGGAUGCAUAUGAAGAGGAAGGAAGAUGAGAAAUGGGUUAUCUGUAAUUUCGUGAAAGAACAUAACCAUGAGAUUUGUCCAGAUGAUUUUUAUAUUGGUGUCGGAGGAAAAAAGAAGCAGGCUGGUGAUGUAGUACAUCAAAAGAAAGGCCUUCAAUUGGCUCUAGAAGUGGAAGACAUAAAUUUAAUGCUUGAUCAUUUCAUGGCUAUGCAGGAACAGCAGCCAGGUUUCUUCUAUGCAAUAGAUUUGGAUGGUGAGAAACAUGUAAGAAAUGUCUUUUGGCUCGAUUCAAAGGCCAAGCACUGCUACGACAGCUUUUCAGAUGUUGUCCUAUUCGAUACAUUUUAUGUUAGGAACGGAUACAAAGUUCCAUUUGCUCCUUUUGUUGGAGUCAGUCAUCACUGUCAGUACGUUUUGCUUGGGUGUGCUUUAAUUGGAGAAGAGAGUGCAUCUACAUUUUCCUGGUUAUUUCGGACAUGGCUCAAAGCAAUAGGUGGUCAGGCUCCUAAAGUGAUUAUAACAUAUCAGGACAAGCUUCUAAGCGAAGUCAUUAUGGAAAUCUUGCCCACUGCUCGUCACUGUUUCUGUUUAUGGAAUUUGCUGGGUGAGCUUCCUGAGAAGUUGAUUUCUUUUGUGGAUCAAUAUGACGAUUUCAUGAAAAGUUUUCGAGAAUGUAUUCAUGGCUCUUGGACAGAUGAGCAAUUUGAAAGGAGGUGGUCAGAAAUGGUUGGUAAAUUUGAACUCAAUCGCAACGAAUGGGUUCUUUCGUUGUUUAAUGAUCGAAAAAAGUGGGCACCACACUAUUUUCAGGGUAUUUGUUUAGCCGGAAUGUCUGGUCAUGAAAAGUCCGGGAGUAUUGCCUCUCGCUUUGAUAAACAUAUGGAUUCAGAAGCUACGUUCAAGGACUUCUUUAUACAGUAUACGAAUUUUCUGCGAGACACAUGUGAUGUGGAAGAAAGGUUUGAUCUUGAAUCUCAAAGCAGACAGCCUACAUUGAGAUCACUUUCACCUUUUGAGAAACAACUUUCUUUGACCUACACAGACUCUGCUUUCAAGAAGUUCCAAGCUGAGGUACUUGGAGUUGUUUCUUGUCAGCUGCACGUAGAAAGAAAAGAUGGGACAAAUGUGAUAUUCCAUGUCGAAGAUUUCGAAGAACGUGAAAAUUUCUAUGUGGUUUGGAACAAGGAGCUGUUGGAUGUGCAUUGCUCUUGUCAUUUGUUCGAGCUCUGGGGCUUCCUCUGCAAACAUGCAAUCCUUGUUCUUCAAACCUCGGAUGUUUCAAGCAUCCCGUCCCAGUAUAUAUUGAAGCGUUGGUCAAAGAAUGGUAACACCAGUGAUAACAGAAACGGAAAAUGUGACAGUAUACACAGCCGGAUGGCACGUUUUGAUGAUCUUUGUAGACGUUUUGUCAAGCUAGGGGAAGUGGCGUCUUUGUCAGAUGAAGCAUAUAAGACUGCUUUUAAGGUGUUGGAAGAAACCUUGACUCACUGUGUCAGAGUGAACAAUUCUGCCAAGUUUCCUCCGGAACCAAGCAGGUUAAUGACAUCUAGACAUUUUGACGAAGGAGGUGAAGAUCUGCUGGAUAGUACAUCGAGAUCGUCGAAGAAAAAGAAAGUUCAUAAGAAAAGGAAGGCAUACUCUGGGCCAGAGGAUACAGCGAACAGGUCACAAGAGCACUGUCAGGACACUCAGGAACACGUUAGCUACAGAGCAGCAAGCUUUGAGAACUGUUACAUUCCUCGAGCAGAUAUGGAGGAAGAGCCGGAACUAGGCUCUCGAGCAGCAACUGUUGGUGUCUAUUAUCCUACUCCACAGCCUAUUCAAGGAUUUUCUUCUGUUCCUUCCAUCCAGGACGGGUACUACGGAAAUCCACCGGCCAUGCAAGUGAUGAUGGGGAACGUGAACAUGGGGCAUGCACGAAUGAGUCAGUCCCAGACCCAACCGAGCGUCCAAGGAAGGAACUGUAUGUCCACAUGUUUCAUUUCACGCGUCUUUCUUCUUCAUAAGACAGGCAAACAUUGAUCCAAGAAUGCAGAGGUGGUCACUUUCUUUGCACUGUGUUUGUGUAGUUCCAGGGACAGACCAGUUUCAGGGGAACCCCUACUCGAGGCUGUUUUGACGUCGGAGGAAUUACUUUGCCAGUCGGUGGAUUCUUUACGGUUUCAGAGUUUUGUUUUUUUUUUGGUUAAAUGGUGUCAGAGUUCCAUGGACGGGAGAUCAAUGGUUACACAUUUCCCGUUAUAUACGGAUGACGUGAAUUAGUUUCACCUAUUGGGCUGUAAUAUGGGCCUUGAGGCCCAUUCACGAGAAGUGUGAUAAUUAUACGGAUGACGUGUGAAUUCGUAUUCGAUUUUUUAUUUUCAGUUUA
Molecule: RNA transcript, 3114 nt
Organism: Tarenaya hassleriana
Lineage: Eukaryota; Viridiplantae; Streptophyta; Magnoliopsida; Brassicales; Cleomaceae
Gene name: protein FAR1-RELATED SEQUENCE 2
Exons: 8
Source: RefSeq, a predicted model, not a curated record